UUUUCUUUCUUUUGCUGAUUGAGCCUGCAAAACCAUGUCACUCUUCGACUUUCCUGCAGCUCUUUUAGUCAUUCUUUGUUCAUGAGAUCUUUCCAACAACAUAUCUUGAUGUCAACACUUCUCCAUAUACCUUGAUUUGAUUCACCGGUUUCGUAACCUUGGUGAAAAAAUCAAUUAUGCUUUCAUUGUCUUUCAUCUGAAACAAUUCAUACGUUCUUUUGUGAGUUUGUAACCUCACCUCUUUCACCUUCUCCGCGCCUCUAAA
RNAcentral lists this long non-coding RNA (265 nucleotides) under Lathyrus oleraceus (garden pea). Its description in RNAcentral is "Pisum sativum (pea) long non-coding RNA (PSAT_LNC042080)". Lineage: Eukaryota; Viridiplantae; Streptophyta; Magnoliopsida; Fabales; Fabaceae. The record is from RNAcentral.